This 500-nucleotide ribosomal RNA is filed under the name uncultured bacterium. RNAcentral's name for it is "partial 16S ribosomal RNA". It matches the Rfam family "Bacterial small subunit ribosomal RNA", at positions 30 to 523 of the family's 1533-position model. The record is from RNAcentral.
AUUGAACGCUGGCGGCAGGCCUAACACAUGCAAGUCGAGCGGAUGACGGGAGCUUGCUCCUUGAUUCAGCGGCGGACGGGUGAGUAAUGCCUAGGAAUCUGCCUGGUAGUGGGGGACAACGUUUGGAAGGAAACGCUAAUACCGCAUAGGUCCUCGGGGAGAAACCAGGGGACCUUCGGGCCUUCCCCUACCAGAUGAGCCUAGGUCGGAUUAGCUAGUUGGUGGGGUAAUGGCUCACCAAGGCGACGAUCCGUAACUGGUCUGAGAGGAUGAUCAGUCACACUGGAACUGAGACACGGUCCAGACUCCUACGGGAGGCAGCAGUGGGGAAUAUUGGACAAUGGGCGAAAGCCUGAUCCAGCCAUGCCGCGUGUGUGAAGAAGGUCUUCGGAUUGUAAAGCACUUUAAGUUGGGAGGAAGGGCAGUAAGUUAAUACCUUGCUGUUUUGACGUUACCGGCAGAAUAAGCACCGGCUAACUCUGUGCCAGCCGCCGCGGUAA